This 63-nucleotide transfer RNA is filed under the name Pochazia shantungensis. RNAcentral describes it as "tRNA-Trp". Lineage: Eukaryota; Metazoa; Arthropoda; Insecta; Hemiptera; Ricaniidae. The record is from RNAcentral.
AAGGAUUUAAGUUAAUAAAACUAUUAACCUUCAAAGUUAAAAUUAUAAGAUUUAUAGGCCUUA